RNAcentral lists this ribosomal RNA (834 nucleotides) under uncultured Flavobacteriales bacterium. Its description in RNAcentral is "bacterial SSU rRNA". It matches the Rfam family "Bacterial small subunit ribosomal RNA", at positions 39 to 873 of the family's 1533-position model. The record is from RNAcentral. Lineage: Bacteria; Pseudomonadati; Bacteroidota; Flavobacteriia; Flavobacteriales.
GCGGCAGGCCUAACACAUGCAAGUCGAGGGGUAACAGGAAGAAGCUUGCUUCUUCGCUGACGACCGGCGCACGGGUGCGUAACACGUAUGCAACCUACCUCUUACUGAGGGAUAGCCCAGAGAAAUUUGGAUUAAUACCUCAUAACACCACAAAAUCGCAUGAUUUCAUGGUUAAAGGUUACGGUAAGAGAUGGGCAUGCGGACUAUUAGUUAGUUGGUGAGGUAAUGGCUCACCAAGACUACGAUGGUUAGGGGGUCUGAGAGGAUUAUCCCCCACACUGGUACUGAGACACGGACCAGACUCCUACGGGAGGCAGCAGUGAGGAAUAUUGCGCAAUGGACGAAAGUCUGACGCAGCCAUGCCGCGUGAAGGAUGACGGCGCUACGCGUUGUAAACUUCUUUUAUAUACCAAGAAACCUUCGGACGUGUCCGAAGCUGACGGUAGUAUAUGAAUAAGCACCGGCUAACUCCGUGCCAGCAGCCGCGGUAAUACGGAGGGUGCAAGCGUUAUCCGGAUUUAUUGGGUUUAAAGGGUCCGUAGGCGGAUCAUUAAGUCAGUGGUGAAAGCCGACAGCUCAACUGUCGAACUGCCAUUGAUACUGGUGAUCUUGAGUACGGUUGAAGUAGGCGGAAUAUGACAUGUAGCGGUGAAAUGCUUAGAUAUGUCAUAGAACACCGAUUGCGAAGGCAGCCUACUAAGCCGUUACUGACGCUGAGGGACGAAAGUGUGGGGAGCGAACAGGAUUAGAUACCCUGGUAGUCCACACCGUAAACGAUGAUUACUCGGUAUUGGCAUUUGUCAGUGCCCAAGCGAAAGUGAUAAGUAAUCCACC